UCCGAAGGGGGCUAUCGUUGUUCGGAAUCACUGGGCGUAAAGCGCACGUAGGCGGCUUGUUAAGUCAGAGGUGAAAGCCUGGAGCUCAACUCCAGAACUGCCUUUGAUACUGGCAAGCUCGAGGAUGGCAGAGGUUGGUGGAACUCCGAGUGUAGAGGUGAAAUUCGUAGAUAUUCGGAAGAACACCAGUGGCGAAGGCGGCCAACUGGGCCAUUACUGACGCUGAGGUGCGAAAGCGUGGGGAGAAAACAGG
Molecule: ribosomal RNA, 253 nt
Filed under: uncultured bacterium
Lineage: Bacteria
Description: partial 16S ribosomal RNA
Rfam family: Bacterial small subunit ribosomal RNA
Source: RNAcentral